This 241-nucleotide ribosomal RNA is filed under the name uncultured bacterium. Its description in RNAcentral is "partial 16S ribosomal RNA". It matches the Rfam family "Bacterial small subunit ribosomal RNA", at positions 1245 to 1500 of the family's 1533-position model. The record is from RNAcentral.
CGAAGCGAAGCAGUGAUGUGAAGCAAAUCGCACCAAAGCCAGUCCCAGUUCGGAUAAGAGGCUGAAACUCGCCUCUUUGAAGUCGGAAUCGCUAGUAAUCGCAGAUCAGCAUGUUGCGGUGAAUACGUUCCCGGGUCUUGUACACACCGCCCGUCAAACCAUGAGAGUCACCAACACCCGAAGUCCGCCUUGGCGGCCUAAGGUGGGGGAGAUGAUUGGGGUUAAGUCGUAACAAGGUAAC